GACGAACGCUGGCGGCGUGCUUAACACAUGCAAGUCGAACGGAAAGGCCCUGCUUUUGUGGGGUGCUCGAGUGGCGAACGGGUGAGUAACACGUGAGUAACCUGCCCUUGACUUUGGGAUAACUUCAGGAAACUGGGGCUAAUACCGGAUAGGAGCUCCUGCUGCAUGGUGGGGGUUGGAAAUUUUCGGCGGUUGGGGAUGGACUCGCGGCUUAUCAGCUUGUUGGUGGGGUAGUGGCUUACCAAGGCUUUGACGGGUAGCCGGCCUGAGAGGGUGACCGGCCACAUUGGGACGGAGAUACGGCCAAGACUCAUACGGGAGGCAGCAGUGGGGAAUAUUGCACAAUGGGCGGAAGCCUGAUGCAGCAACGCCGGGUGCGGGAUGACGGCCUUCGGGUUGGAAACCGCUUUCGCCUGUGACGAAGCGUGAGUGACGGUAAUGGGUAAGAAGCACCGGCUAACUACGUG
This 467-nucleotide ribosomal RNA is filed under the name uncultured bacterium. RNAcentral's name for it is "partial 16S ribosomal RNA". It matches the Rfam family "Bacterial small subunit ribosomal RNA", at positions 28 to 507 of the family's 1533-position model. The record is from RNAcentral.